This 1387-nucleotide long non-coding RNA is filed under the name Homo sapiens (human). The record is from RNAcentral. Lineage: Eukaryota; Metazoa; Chordata; Mammalia; Primates; Hominidae.
AGGUGCUGCAUGGAGUGAGUGGCGGCAUCCACCGUGAGGAGGAGAGGAGCUCUGAUACCCUCAGGACCCGCCAGGAGGGGCAUCACGGAGGCUUCUGGACGACUUGGAGCUGUGUCCUGGGGAGAAAACCGCUCCUGUCUGGGCCCUGAGUGCUGAGGAGGAAGCUGCCAUGCACUUUUCCCUGGCAUUUUUCCUGCAUGGUUCGUCUGUGUUUUUGCAAAUGACAUGUUGUCAUGAAUUUUUAUGCAUGAGGCAUAUUUCAUCAUGUCUGUAUGCUGAAGUCCCUUCAUCCUUUCAUUGGUUGGUGGACAGGAGAGAGAGGUCCAAGGUGCCCUACAUCGUGCGUCAGUGCGUGGAGGAGAUCGAGCGCCGAGGCAUGGAGGAGGUGGGCAUCUACCGCAUGUCUGGGGUGGCCGCAGACAUCCAGGCACUGAAGGCAGGCUUCAACGUCAAUAACAAGGACGUGUCAGUGAUGAUGAGCGAGAUGGACGUGAACGCCAUCGCAGGCAUGCUGAAGCUGUACUUCCGUGAGCUGCCCGAGCCCCUCUUCACUGACGAGUUCUACCCCAACUUCGCAGAGGGCAUCGCUCUUUCAGACCCAGUUGCAAAGAAGAGCUGCAUGCUCAACCUGCUGUCGUCCCUGCCGGAGGCCAACCUGCUCACCUUCCUUUUCCUUCUAGACCACCUGGAAAGGAUGGCAGAGAAGGAGGCAGUCAAUAAGAUGUCCCUGCACAACCUUGGCACGGUGUUUGGCCCCACGCUGCUCCGGCCCUCCGAGAAGGAGAGCAAGCUCCCUGCCAACCCCAGCCAGCCCAUCACCAUGACUGACAGCUGGUCCUUGGAGGUCAUGUCCCAGGUCGAGGUGCUGCUGUACUUCUUGCGGCUGGAGGCCAUCCCUGCCCUGGACAGCAAGGGACAGAGCAUCCUGUUCUCCACCGAUGUCUAAAGGUCCCAGUCCAUCUCCUGGAGGCGGACAGACGGCCUGGAAACCUCUGGCUAAUCAGGCCAUCUGUAGAGUGGGAAUCAAGAUUUUCUGAGGCAUCCUUGGGCCACCCCCAGGUGUCAGGCCAUCUGCCAAGAGACAGCGGCCCAAAGCAGAAGGACAGGUGGCCUGGGCAGAUCCCGCCCAGGUCUGAAAGCCCCAGGCUGGCCUCAGACUGUGGGUUUUUUAUGUGGCCACCCGAGGGCGCCCCAAACCAGUUCAUCUCGGAGUCCAGGCCUGGCCCUGGGAGACAGGGUGAAAGCAGUGGUUUUUAUGAACUUAACUUAUAGAGUCCAAAAGAUUUCUACUGAAUCACUUGUCAAGAAGCGCCCUCUCUGGGGAGAAGGGAACGUGACUGGAUUCCCUCACUGUUGUAUCUUGAAUAAACGCUGCUGCUUCAUCCUG